This 516-nucleotide ribosomal RNA is filed under the name Triticum aestivum (bread wheat). RNAcentral's name for it is "partial small subunit ribosomal RNA". Lineage: Eukaryota; Viridiplantae; Streptophyta; Magnoliopsida; Poales; Poaceae. The record is from RNAcentral.
AUGUUGACAACUUGGAGGAUACAUUGGUUGCUUCACAUUAGACCCGGAAAGAAGACCGCCGGUAACGAUUAUGAAGCAGAGUCGCAUAGUAAUGGACCCGUGAACAGAUGUGAGGACGAGUAUUUCAAAAAAUCAAAGAGAAAACAACUAGCAGAAGAUAUCCAAGAAGCAAAUGCAACCGGAAUUGUGAAUUAUCCGAAUGUUUCCAAUUGGCCUAUUCAAACGUAUGACAUGCCAAAACAACAUGAUAGGAAUUCGUGUGGAAUAUUUCUCCUUCGAUGCUUUCAAUAUUGGGAUGGAGACAAAUGGACAUGCUUAUUUUCACAGAACUUACUUGGCUACCGCUCACACUACGAGAUGCAUCGACCUCGCUCUCGUUGUCUCCGGGAGGGUUUUCGGCUGCGACCAGAUGCAAUCCUUGAACUGGCUGCACCUCCAACCGCCCUGCGCGCACACGGACUCCAUCGAGAGUUAUGUUCCACGAGACCACGACGCAAGAAUUUGUCUCGGCACUGA